This is a long non-coding RNA of Folsomia candida, 983 nucleotides long. RefSeq lists it as uncharacterized. NCBI's taxonomy places the organism in Eukaryota, Metazoa, Arthropoda, Collembola, Entomobryomorpha, Isotomidae. The record is from RefSeq and is a predicted model, not a curated record. The transcript has 4 exons.
ACACACGGCUUAAUCUUAUUUUUGCAUAUGCCAUACUUACUACGAUUCUUUCUCUUCACUAAAGCUGCAAAGUCUAGUGCACGUGACAUACAGCUAAGGUAUCCAUUCAUUCAUGUCCCACAAGUUGUGUUAUUAAUCGGUAGUCAUAAUUUCACAAAAAUAAACGCCACAUUCAUAACUCGUUCUUGACUACGCAAAUCAUUCUAGAACAAUUGGUGUGGAAUGAAGGUUGGAAUUAAGUUGGCAGUGCUUUGCAAGUCUAUUUGCAAACUAAAUAUCAAAGCGAGGCCCGGACUGAGUUACCGGUAUGCCUCCAACGGAAACAACAUGACAACAAUAUUUUCUGAAAAUCGAGAAUCUAUCCUGGUUCGGGGACAUGGAAAGUCGACUUCAACCUGAAAAGGAUGAGUGGAGAGUGCAAAAUUUUCAACCAAAAUAGGAAACUCCACCACCACCAUGGACAAAAUUGUAUAAAUAGAGCCCACACUUUUGUUACUCAAUCUUUACAGUUUUUCUUGCUCUUAUUUCAUUUUCAAGUCACAAAAGUGAAUCUUUAUAAUCAAAAUGGUGGAUAGUAAAGUUCCAGAGGCCGGAGAGAAGUGGGUCAAUCCUAGAGCCAAGCCAAAAUCUGUGAAGCUAACCCCGGAGGAGGAAGAAGCCAAGUCUGCUCGAAACAUGAGCCUCCUCAAGUACGGGGUCGCGAUUGCUUUCGUCGGCUGGGUUGGUCAACAGUGGUACUAUUCCGUCCCGAAUGUCUACCACUAACAGGAGGUUAAAUGAUUCCAUGGUCCCGUGUUGGAGUGGGGAGCGUGCAUCGUUCAGCACCUUAUCCCUCCUAUAUUAUUUGAGUGUAUUAAAUUAUAUAUGUCAUGUAAAAGUAUAUUAUGUAAGCUAUGUAUCAAGGUGGAAUAUUUUUACUCUGCGAACACAACUGAAAUAUGUACUUAUACUAAACUCAAUAAAAUAACAAUCUAUAGAUUGUC